Harmonia axyridis is the source of this 834-nucleotide long non-coding RNA. RefSeq lists it as uncharacterized. The record is from RefSeq and is a predicted model, not a curated record. NCBI's taxonomy places the organism in Eukaryota, Metazoa, Arthropoda, Insecta, Coleoptera, Coccinellidae. The transcript has 3 exons.
GUUUGCAUAUGUCAAAAUUAAAUUGAAUUUUUCUUUUUCAGCUGCUCAUAGUAGUAUAUCUAGGUAUAAAGUUUACCGUGCAGUUUAGUUAAUUACAUGUUAUCACAUAAAAAUGAAAAGUACCUGGCUGACAUCCAAGUAAUUACAAGAAACAAUUUGAAUUAGCUGCAAAUUGCACGCUUUGCUCUAAUUUUCAUCAAAAUGGGUCGAAUCCGUUUUACCUUUCUGCCUAUAUAAUCCAUAAUACAUAGGGAAAUUUUGGAAAAUUGCCUUCUAUAACUGGUAAUAGGAAUCUCCGAAGUAGACCGGAAAAUGAAGACGAAUAUAAAACGUGAAUAACUCCUACGUUAAUCUGCCUUUACAUAAAACAAGAAUAGAGAAAAGGCAACCAUGGGUAUUACUUACAUAGCGCUUUACAAACCUAGACAGUUGAAUCUAAUUGCAUUUGCAGCUGAUUCUCUCUAUACUGAUUUCACGGAAGAUGAACACAGCAAAAAAAUUAUGAAACGAAACUUUCUUCAGACUCGAAAUUGUGUUAUAUACAAGUUUCACGGAAUCUCAGGUAAAUAUCCAGUUGGCGGACACUAUCAGAUAUCGCGCAAAAUUGUUACGUCCUGAUUUGAUGAUCAGGUUGAAGAAUAUAAAAUCUGCUUGUCUAAUUAAAAAAAAAACUAGGAAAUUAUUUUGCUUCAUUUAUUAUAAUAUCCUAAAUCCCGUUAAUUUAUUUUUUUCGUUGUAUCCAUAUUGUGAAAUUAAUAUUGAGAAAUGCAUGAGGAACCAAUUGUCAUUGUCGUGGUACAAAAAGAAAAGCGCUUCUUCUUCAAGAUCAAUACU